UUCGGAUCGGAGUCUGCAACCCGACUCCGUGAAGCUGGAUUCGCUAGUAAUCGCGCAUCAGCCAUGGCGCGGUGAAUACGUUCCCGGGCCUUGUACACACCGCCCGUCAAGCCAUGGGAGCCGGGAGUGCCUGAAGUGCGUGACCGUAAAAGGAGCGCCCUAGGGCAAGACCGGUGACUGGGGCUAAGUCGUAACAAGGUACC
This 203-nucleotide ribosomal RNA is filed under the name uncultured bacterium. RNAcentral describes it as "partial 16S ribosomal RNA". It matches the Rfam family "Bacterial small subunit ribosomal RNA", at positions 1292 to 1500 of the family's 1533-position model. The record is from RNAcentral.